This is a non-coding RNA of Phrynosoma platyrhinos (Desert horned lizard), 72 nucleotides long. The record is from the annotation of a GenBank genome assembly. NCBI's taxonomy places the organism in Eukaryota, Metazoa, Chordata, Lepidosauria, Squamata, Phrynosomatidae.
GCCAGCAUGGCAUAGUGGUCUGAGUGUUGGACUGUGACUCUAGAGACCAAGGAUCAAUUCCCAGCUCAGCCA